CGGAGUUUGGCGGCCAAUCCAGGGCGUCUUCACGGACGGAUCUGGAGUGGCCGCCUUUGUGGAUGGGGGCCCAGUGUCGCUUCACUGCGUCAUUGUGGUCGCUGCCACCGUUUACUGUGAAAAAA
RNAcentral lists this ribosomal RNA (125 nucleotides) under Mastocarpus stellatus. RNAcentral describes it as "partial 18S ribosomal RNA". The record is from RNAcentral. Lineage: Eukaryota; Rhodophyta; Florideophyceae; Gigartinales; Phyllophoraceae.